This 394-nucleotide ribosomal RNA is filed under the name uncultured bacterium. RNAcentral's name for it is "bacterial SSU rRNA". It matches the Rfam family "Bacterial small subunit ribosomal RNA", at positions 505 to 898 of the family's 1533-position model. The record is from RNAcentral.
GUGCCAGCCGCCGCGGUAAUACGGAGGGUGCAAGCGUUAAUCGGAAUUACUGGGCGUAAAGCGCACGUAGGCGGUAUGUUAAGUUGGAUGUGAAAGCCCCGGGCUCAACCUGGGAAUUGCAUUCAAAACUGGCAUGCUAGAGUAUGUGAGAGGGGGGUAGAAUUCCAAGUGUAGCGGUGAAAUGCGUAGAGAUUUGGAGGAAUACCAGUGGCGAAGGCGGCCCCCUGGCACAAUACUGACGCUCAGGUGCGAAAGCGUGGGGAGCAAACAGGAUUAGAUACCCUGGUAGUCCACGCCGUAAACGAUGUCUACUAGCUGUUCGUGGUCUUGUACUGUGAGUAGCGCAGCUAACGCACUAAGUAGACCGCCUGGGGAGUACGGUCGCAAGAUUAAA